AUUGAACGCUGGCGGAAUGCUUUACACAUGCAAUUCGAACGGUAGAGGGCGCAACCCCUCGAGAGUGGCGAACGGGUGAGUAAUGUAUCGGAACGUGCCCAGUCGUGGGGGAUAACGUAGUGAAAAUUACGCUAAUACCGCAUACGAGCUAUGGAUGAAAUCGCGGGACCGCAAGAGCUCGCGCGAGUGGAGCGGCCGACAUCGGAUUAGGUAGUUGGUGGGGUAAAGGCCCACAAAGCCAACGAGCGGUAGCUGGUCUGAGAGGACGAACAGCCACAAUGGAACUGAGACACGGUCCAGACUCCUACGGGAGGCAGCAGUGGGGAAUUUUGGACAAUGGGCGAAAGCCUGAUCCAGCCAUGCCGCGUGCAGGAUGAAGGCCCUCGGGUUGUAAACUGCUUUUGUACAGAACGAAAAGGUUUCUACUAAUACUAGGAGCUCAUGACGGUACUGUAAGAAUAAGCACCGGCUAACUACGUGCCAGCCGCCGCCGUAA
RNAcentral lists this ribosomal RNA (496 nucleotides) under uncultured bacterium. RNAcentral's name for it is "partial 16S ribosomal RNA". It matches the Rfam family "Bacterial small subunit ribosomal RNA", at positions 30 to 523 of the family's 1533-position model. The record is from RNAcentral.